This 694-nucleotide long non-coding RNA is filed under the name Nicotiana benthamiana. Its description in RNAcentral is "long non-coding RNA (NBEN_LNC021680)". Lineage: Eukaryota; Viridiplantae; Streptophyta; Magnoliopsida; Solanales; Solanaceae. The record is from RNAcentral.
AAAAGAAGUAAACAAUCUUUUGUUUUUUCUACCUCACUACAACAUCUCUCACACUCUAUUUUUCUUCACAAACUAUUUUCUUAUAAUUUAUGGAAUACCUUACUCUCUUUUUUCUCUCUUUGUUGGUGUGUUGAAAUGAGAGUUGAAGCUCUCCUUUUAUAACCAAAGUUUCACUCUCUAAAGCCUACAAUAUUUGACAAUUUACACACAUUUUUUACAAUUCAACAAAGUUGGCUACCAACCCAAAGAAAUUCAACAAGAUUGGUUACCUAACCAAACUAAUUCAACAAAAUUGGUUACCUAACCAAACUAAUUCAACAAAGUUGGUUACCUAAUCAAAUCAAGUCAACAACUUUGGCUACUACAUAUGAGGCUGGACCCGUACCAAAUAAUUCAACAAGGUUGGAUACCAAACCAAACCAAGUCAAUAAAAUUGGCUACCAAAUCAUUUGAAUGAGAUAGACACCAUAUCAUAUACACAAUCAGAUCAAUACAGAUAAAUAUCUAUGAUAAGCAUCUAUAGGUAACCUGAUGAAAAUUGUAACUAAUGUGAUAGUGUUAAAAAUCUUUAAGAUAUCAGUAUAUAUAACUUAAAUCAUAUAUGCAUACAUAUGGUAUAUAGUAAAUCAAAAAAAAAACCGAGUAAAUAAAACUACAUUACUCAAAUCCAAAGGUGUAAAUUGCGAAAACUAAC